Schistosoma margrebowiei is the source of this 45-nucleotide non-coding RNA. The record is from Rfam. NCBI's taxonomy places the organism in Eukaryota, Metazoa, Platyhelminthes, Trematoda, Strigeidida, Schistosomatidae.
AUCCCGCUGACGAGUCUCAAACAGGACGAAACGCGCAUCCUGGAU